CCCACUGUCAUUUCCAUUUGUACGCGAUAGGCAAGUUUGGUCGCGUCGUCUCGCAGCAAAGAACAUUCUCAUCUCCUCUCUGGCUCUGAAGUCCGACCCAUCUGCGCUUUGCUGGAGACAAUAUCUGCAGCAUCAUCGAAUCAAAACUCAGUACAUUUUAGAAAUGACGGAUUUCGAAAAUGAAAAGCCACUGAGAAAGAUAUCAGAGGCGUUUAAGGAGCUAGCUGCCACUGUAAACUCACAAUCUGCUGAUAUUGAAGUCGCUCCAUUCUCUCGAGCUUGCUCUCUCGUCUCUCCUCUUUUUGGCUGUUUGGGUAUCGCCUUCAAGUUCGCCGAGAUGGAUUAUGUUGCUAAGGUUCGUGAUCUUGCAGACGCAUCGAAAGUGAUUGUGACCUUGGAAGCCAUGCUGGAUAGGGACAUGGAACAGAAAACCGUGAGAAAAGCGGGUAGUCAUUCAAGAAAUCUUUUGAGGGUAAAGCGUGGGCUUGACAUGGUCAAGGUUCUCUUUGAGCAAAUUAUUGUUACAGAGGGGAAUUCUUUGAAGGACCCAGCUUCCAAGGCUUAUGCACAAGUAUUUGCUCCUCACCAUGGGUGGGCUAUCAGAAAAGCUGUUGAUGCGGGGAUGUAUACCCUUCCUACAAAAGCACAACUUUUAAAUAAGCUGAAUGAAGAUGGUGAGUGCUUGCUCUGAUAAAUGCACUUGUUUCUGAGAUUUGUUCUCAACAGCUCUUGAUCUGCACAAUGUAAUUGAAGUGCUAAAGCCUUGGUUCACUUAGAAAUCUGACUUAUGUGCCUAGUUAUUCCCUUGGUUAAUUGAAAACUUUAGGAUAUUUGGACCAUUAAUUUGCAUGUAUGCGAUAACCAUGAUUCCAAAUGAAUUAGGGUUUAGAAUUAAUGUAUUAUUGUAACAAGUUUGCAUUUAACAUGUUGCUUUGCUGUGUAGUUGGUCAUUUAUUGUGAAACUUGCUUUUGGGUGCUUGGGAAAAUAUUACUUCAGAUUGGAGCUUUUAUUAAAGUUUUACCUCUUAAUCCAAUAACAACGAUUCUGUUUUAUUUGUGCUUCUUAAAAAAAAUGUUUUUUUGCUGCUAACCAAAUGCUACUUGCAUUUGCUUUCAAGUGAGGACUUCUUAGGGGCCAAAAGAGAAGAAACUGACCUUAUGGCUUUAAAUUAUUUCUGGUUGUAUAAUUGUACGUUCCAACAUUGAUUUUGGCUUUCAGAGACCUCAGCCAGGAUUCAAAUGGAGUAUUAUAUUGCUGCAUCUGCACCAGUCAUUCUCUACAUUGACAAACUCUUCCUAUCUAGGGAAUUGGAUAUAGAUUGGUGAACAAUCUGACUUGUCACUGAUAUGUAUUUAUUGUAAUUGCGUUUUUCCUUUCAUUUCUCUUUUAUUCCAGACCAGCAAGUUCAUAUUUUUAUAUGAGACCUAUAGAGUGUAUUUAUUUGGCUUUUAAAAUAACUCAAAUCCUGCCAAAUAAUUGUGUCGUGCAAAGUUUGUUGUUGUUAUUAUUAUAAAUAAUUUUAUUAUUUUAUUUGAUUGUAUUUGGAAUUGACCAUCUGUAGUUGGGAAGAAC
RNAcentral lists this unclassified non-coding RNA (1573 nucleotides) under Hevea brasiliensis (rubber tree). Lineage: Eukaryota; Viridiplantae; Streptophyta; Magnoliopsida; Malpighiales; Euphorbiaceae. The record is from RNAcentral.